GUACGGGAGGCAGCAGUGGGGAAUAUUGCACAAUGGGGGAAACCCUGAUGCAGCGACGCCGCGUGGAGGAUGAAGGCCUUCGGGUUGUAAACUCCUUUUCUUGGGAAAGAUGAUGACGGUACCCAAGGAAUAAGCCACGGCUAACUCUGUGCCAGCAGCCGCGGUAAGACAGAGGUGGCAAGCGUUGUUCGGAAUUACUGGGCUUAAAGGGCGAGUAGGCGGUGGGACAAGUCUGAUGUGGAAUGUUAGGGCUUAACCCUAAAACUGCAUUAGAAACUGUUUUACUUGAGUCAGUGAGGGGAGGGCGGAAUUCCCGGUGUAGCGGUGAAAUGCGUAGAUAUCGGGAGGAAGGCCGGUGGCGAAGGCGGCCCUCUGGCACUGUACUGACGCUGAGGCGCGAAAGCGUGGGGAGCAAACAGGAUUAGAUACCCCGGUAGC
RNAcentral lists this ribosomal RNA (438 nucleotides) under uncultured bacterium. Its description in RNAcentral is "bacterial SSU rRNA". It matches the Rfam family "Bacterial small subunit ribosomal RNA", at positions 339 to 794 of the family's 1533-position model. The record is from RNAcentral.